GCAAGGGGAGCGGCGAACGAGGUAGUAACACGUGGGUACGAACCGAGAAGUCGGGCAUAGCUAGCCGAAAGGUUAGGUAAUUCCCGAUGUGACGGCAACGUCAAAGGAGCAAUCCGCUUCUUGAUCGGCCCGUGAGAUAUCAGCUAGUUGGUAGGGUAACGGCCUACCAAGGCUAUGACGUCUAGGGGAGCUGAGAGGCUGACCCCCACCGAUGGAACUGAGACACGGUCCAUACACCUACGGGUGGCUGCAGUCGAGAAUCUUCCACAAUGGGCGAAAGCCUGAUGGAGCGACGCCGCGUGCUGGAUGAAGUCCUUCGGGACGUAAACAGCUUUUAUGCGUGAGGAAAUAAUUGACGUUAGCGCAUGAAUAAGGGGCUCCUAACUCUGUGCCAGCAGGAGCGGUAAGACAGAGGCCCCAAGCAUUACCCGGAAUCACUGGGCGUAAAGGGUGUGUAGGCGGUUGUGUUAGUCCUUUGUGAAAGCCCGCGGGCUCAACCCGUGGAACGCAGGGGAAACGGCACGGCUUACGAGGGUGCGAGAGGUGCACGGAACUCAUGGUGUAGGGGUGAAAUCCGUUGAUAUCAUGGGGAACACCGAUUGCGAAGGCAGUGCACUGGCGCAUUCCUGACGCUGAGACACGAAAGCGUGGGUAGCGAAUGGGAUUAGAUACCCCAGUAGUCCACGCCCUAAACGAUCCUGACUGGCUUUUCGGAGUAUCGACCCUCUGAGAGGCGAAGCUAACGCGUUAAGUCAGGCGCCUGGGUAGUACGGCCGCAAGGCUAAAACUCAAAGGAAUAGACGGGAGCUCGCACAAGCGGUGGAGCAUGCGGCUUAAUUCGAUGGUAAACGAAGAACCUUACCAGGGUUUGAAACCCA
This 878-nucleotide ribosomal RNA is filed under the name uncultured bacterium. RNAcentral describes it as "bacterial SSU rRNA". It matches the Rfam family "Bacterial small subunit ribosomal RNA", at positions 86 to 990 of the family's 1533-position model. The record is from RNAcentral.